GACGUAGGGGACGAGCGUUGUCCGGAUUCAUUGGGCGGAAAGCGCGCGUAGGCGGUUUGGCAAGUCGGAUGUGAAAACCAGAGGCUCAACCUCGGGUCUGCAGUCGAUACGAGCAAACUAGAGUGUUGCAGGGGAGACUGGAAUUCCUGGUGUAGCGGUGAAAUGCGCAGAUAUCAGGAGGAACACCGGUGGCGAAGGCGGGUCUCUGGGCAACAACUGACGCUGAGGAGCGAAAGCGUGGGGAGCGAACAGG
This 253-nucleotide ribosomal RNA is filed under the name uncultured bacterium. RNAcentral's name for it is "partial 16S ribosomal RNA". It matches the Rfam family "Bacterial small subunit ribosomal RNA", at positions 524 to 776 of the family's 1533-position model. The record is from RNAcentral.